Molecule: ribosomal RNA, 436 nt
Filed under: uncultured Acidimicrobiales bacterium
Lineage: Bacteria; Bacillati; Actinomycetota; Acidimicrobiia; Acidimicrobiales
Description: bacterial SSU rRNA
Rfam family: Bacterial small subunit ribosomal RNA
Source: RNAcentral
ACGGGAGGCAGCAGUGGGGAAUCUUGCGCAAUGGGCGAAAGCCUGACGCAGCAACGCCGCGUGCGGGAUGACGGCCUUCGGGUUGUAAACCGCUUUCAGUGGGGACGAAAUCAGACGGUACCCACAGAAGAAGCCCCGGCCAACUACGUGCCAGCAGCCGCGGUAACACGUAGGGGGCGAGCGUUGUCCGGAUUCAUUGGGCGUAAAGAGCUCGUAGGCGGCUCAGUAAGUCGGGUGUGAAACCCUCAGGCUCAACCUGGGGACGCCACUCGAUACUGCUGUGGCUAGAGUCCAGUAGGGGAGUGUGGAAUUCCCGGUGUAGCGGUGAAAUGCGCAGAUAUCGGGAGGAACACCAGCGGCGAAGGCGGCACUCUGGGCUGGUACUGACGCUGAGGAGCGAAAGCGUGGGUAGCAAACAGGAUUAGAUACCCUGGUA